Molecule: long non-coding RNA, 1852 nt
Organism: Sycon ciliatum
Lineage: Eukaryota; Metazoa; Porifera; Calcarea; Leucosolenida; Sycettidae
Exons: 3
Source: RefSeq, a predicted model, not a curated record
CCCCAGCAGAAAAAAGUGAGUCAUGCCACCAGUAUCUUGUUUCCGAGGCACUUACUGCGCCGUCCCACGCAGAGCAGUCACUGUUUAUUUGGUUUGAUUACAGUCGGUAAUGGAACAGGAAGGUUGUGUGGUGUUUGAGCUGGUCAUUUUGUAUAGCGUUUUGUCACGAGCUCGUGCUAGUUCUGCGGGGAAGUGAAGACUCCUUGCGGCCAUCACCGGACCGCGGAGUUGGAGGAGCCACUAUCAAUUGCCAGCUGCAUUGUGCAGCAUCGGCAGUGAUGGCACCGGUGAAUGUUGAGAGGGUCUGUCGGUACGCUAGGCAGGAUAGAGUGAAGGAUCUAAAAGCCGAGAUACUUGAAGGUGGUGUUCUCAAAGAAGAAGUCAAACUUCAAAAGGAUGCCAGUGGUGGUCCAUUGUUGGCAAGGUCACUGAGGGAUGCCUGUAGCUACAAUUCUACUUCUGUUGUCAAGUUCUUGGCAUGCACUGUUGACAAGCACUUGCUGAACCAUGAAGGGCCUUACAGUUACCAACUUUCUACGGGAUUACCUGUAAGUGUACUAUAAGUGUAAGUGUAAUGGACCAUGGUUUAGAAGAACACUGAUAACCUUCAAAAAACCUAUGGCAGGGUCACUUGUACGGGCAACAAAUAAGUAUAUAAUACAUGCCCUGUGUCGGUUGUGUUAGUUUCAAGCCUAGCAGUCACGGUUAUAUCGGCGCAGGGUGUGUGGCUGGUGUAGUCAGGAGGCUGUCGAGGUGGGGACAGUUAUGUGACAUUGUCGAGGCUGAGGAAAUAUUUGUUCUCAUGCCAGCAUUUGGACAUGAGUUCCGAGCACUGGUUGAGACUAGAUGUUGAUUUAUCGUGUUGACUGAGUAUGUACUUUUCUCUAGUGUAGAGGGAAUAUCACUAGGUGAUGUUGAUGUACGCACGGCCACCAUACUUUACUCUCCAAUAGACUUCGUACUGGGUGUUUGAUUUCUUGAGGUUCCGGAUGUGCCUGGACAAUUUCGUGCUGUGGGAAUAUUUUCGUGUCUACUUGUUGUUAUGUGGUAAACAAUAACUUCGCAUGGCGUGACUUGAACGAUGGCGCCGAUGUAACGCUUAAUACCAGAGCAUUCUUCGAAAAACGACUUUUGUACCGGCCGCAGUUGGGCCCUAGCCAGGUGAGCCCAGGCCACACCUAAAGAUGUCUGGAUGCCGGAGAGUAUACAUACGCGGUUUACAGUGAACCUCAAGGGAGUGAUGUAAUCAGUGAUGUAAUCAGUGAUGUAAUCAGUGAUGUAAUCAGUGAUGUAAUCAGUUGCAAGGUUGCAAAAGUGCUCUCUGGCUUGUCCAUCAACUCAAUGUGCAUCGUGCGUGCUUGGCUCAAGUUUCGAGACAAAGCAGACUUCUUGAACGUCACUGCCAGUCCAGGAGCGAAUCAGAUAUCGAUCUCUGUAGCUACUCUCCACUGAAGAAGGAGAGAAGAUUGAGCGGAAAGUGAAGCAACUCUCUUUCUCUCACUUUGAAAUAAGGACAUAGUCACUGUUGCGUAAACUGCCUGUGGUUGGUUGAGUGGACACACCUUUUCUUUUUCUAGACUAGCCAAAGUAAGGUGGUUUCCGGACACCAAAAACGCAUACAGUGCACGUGCCUGAUUGACAAUGGGGUCUUUCCCACCAGGUUCCAUUUUUAGCUACAGUUAGGAUGGAUACAACUUUUCCGCAAUAUUUGUAGGUGUUCACUGUUAAAAUUGUACUUAAAGUAGGGUGUUGAAUGAAUCACUUGUAAUCUUCAUGACAGGGAAAAUAGUACCAGGUGUGUGCAUCAUAUCCAGUGGCCAGUAUAACAGACUACGGUACUGCACAGAACCAC